Molecule: ribosomal RNA, 500 nt
Filed under: uncultured organism
Description: SSU rRNA
Rfam family: Bacterial small subunit ribosomal RNA
Source: RNAcentral
AGUUUGAUCCUGGCUCAGGAUGAACGCUGGCGGCGUGCCUAACACAUGCAAGUCGAGCGAGAAAUUAUCAGAAAGAUGCUUCGGUUGAUUUCAGAUAAUGGAAAGCGGCGGACGGGUGAGUAACGCGUAGGCAACCUGCCCUUUGCAGAGGGAUAGCCACGGGAAACUGUGAUUAAAACCUCAUAACACCAUUUUGUCACAUGUCAGAAUGGUCAAAGAUUUAUCGGCAAAGGAUGGGCCUGCGUCUGAUUAGCUAGUAGGUGGGGUAACGGCCUACCUAGGCAACGAUCAGUAGCCGACCUGAGAGGGUGAUCGGCCACAUUGGAACUGAGACACGGUCCAAACUCCUACGGGAGGCAGCAGUGGGGAAUAUUGCACAAUGGGGGAAACCCUGAUGCAGCAACGCCGCGUGAACGAAGAAGGCCAUAUGGUCGUAAAGUUCUGUCCUUGGGGAAGAUAAUGACGGUACCCUUGGAGGAAGCCCCGGCUAACUACGUGCC